GGGUAGAGGUAACACGUGGGAAUCUGCCCAGGAGUGGGGAACAAACUCCGAGAAAUCGGAGCUAAUACCGCAUACGGUCUUUCGCAAGAGAGACUAAAGCCUUCGGGCGCUUUUGGAGGAGCCUGCGGCUGAUUAGCUAGUUGGUGGGGUAAAAAGCCUACCAAGGCCGUGAUCAGUAGCUGGUCUGAGAGGAUGGACAGCCACACUGGGACUGAGAUACGGCCCAG
Molecule: ribosomal RNA, 227 nt
Filed under: uncultured bacterium
Lineage: Bacteria
Description: partial 16S ribosomal RNA
Rfam family: Bacterial small subunit ribosomal RNA
Source: RNAcentral